This 397-nucleotide ribosomal RNA is filed under the name uncultured bacterium. RNAcentral's name for it is "partial 16S ribosomal RNA". It matches the Rfam family "Bacterial small subunit ribosomal RNA", at positions 523 to 918 of the family's 1533-position model. The record is from RNAcentral.
AUACGUAGGGGGCGAGCGUUGUCCGGAAUGAUUGGGCGUAAAGGGCGCGUAGGCGGCUUUGCAAGUCAGUAGUGGAAGUCCAUUUUUCAAGGAUGGAAGUGCUACAGAAACUGCGGAGCUUGAGUGCAGGAGAGGUUAUCGGAAUUCCCGGUGUAGCGGUGAAAUGCGUAGAGAUCGGGAGGAACACCAGUGGCGAAGGCGCGUAGCUGCGCUACAACAUGCGUUGCGGCGCGAAAAUGUGGGCAGCAGACAGGAUUAGUUAACCUGGUAGUCCCCACUGUAAAGCAUGAAUUCUCGGUGUAGGAGGUAUCGCCCCUUUCUGUGCUUCAAUAAACACAAUAAGGAUUCAGCCUGGGAAGUACGGUCGUACGAUUACAGCUCAAAGUAAUUGAUGGGG